GGUUCCCAAACUCUUCCGCAAGCACGUCCAUGCUGUGCUGCUCACGACGAAGGGAGAAGCCAGCAGAGCCGCCACGCCCGCUUUCGGCUGCCCCAAGCAAACCGCAGCGCCCGGCAUUGGAAUAACCACUUCUGUGCAUUCUCUGAUUUAAUGAUCAACCGCAGGGAGCACCCUGGAUGGAUGGAGUGGCAGAAGAUAUUUCAAGCAGAGAAAAACAGCAUGACCAAUGACUUGAGGACUUUACAUAGGACCACAUUCUGGCAAUUGAGUGUAAUCUCCAUAGGGCUUGUCUAUAAGGAAGUGUCUGUAGGUGACACUAGAAAGAUCCAUUGGGACUGGGCCAUUGUUAGCCCUUAUGCCAUGUUAAAGAAAUAAGACCUUAUUCUGAGAGGCUUCAACAUGAAGACACUGUAAACAAAAAAGGAUUAUCCUGUCUUCAAAACCUUGAUGCAUCCAGACUGGGAGAAAACAUGUGUGAUCCUGGUUUCCAAACUUGAGUAAAUUCACAAUAGAACUAGAAAAGGCUAGAGCAAUGUUGGAGAAAGAAUAUGGGCUCUUCAGUCUGAAAAGGCAAGGGCAAAGAGGGCUUCAGUGAAGCCUAUCAUUUCAUAAACAGCAAGGUGAGGGUGAACACGGGCCGAAACCUCUACUGUAAUCAGAAAAAAACAGCUUAUGUUUUGAGCAAGGGUGGAUGGUCUGAAGCCUUUUGCUGCCUGACAUGCCCACAAAGCCCUUCUCUGAAACAGCCUUGCAUUGUGUCAUGGGACCCAACCAUGCUGUAAGAACUGAUUGGGUCAGGAACCUGCCAAAGACAGCCAUGUAGGGGAGCUGACAUGGCCCCUACCCAGUGCAGGAGAGUAGGGAAGAGGAGUGUCUGUACUGACUAAUGGCAGUUAGACCCAAUCACUUCUCUCCUGGGACGUUAUUAAUUAAGAGGUACCAAAAGGGAGGGCGGCCGCAUAAAGAAGUAGUGAAGUAAAACACCAAGGAAGCGUUUGGUAGCAUCACAACAGUGAGAAAUACUUUUGAUCGGAUGACCUAGAGAAACCAAUAUAGCAAAAGGUUUUAGCGCACACAUUCCAGGGUUAGACUCUUUGGUGUGUUUAAAGACACCCACCAGCUCUGUAACCUUGGACAACUUCUGUAGCUAAUCUGAGCUUCAUUUGCAUCUAUAGAAAUAAAGAUAAAGCCUGCCCUACAGGGUGUUGUGCAGUUAUAGGAGAUCAUGUGUAUGAAGCGCUUAGGGUAUUCCUUGCCAUAUGGUAAGUGCUCAGUGGCUAUUAUUAUUUUACUUGAAAGAAAAAAGAAUUAAGGGCACCUGGGUGGUUCAGUCAUUUGAGUGUCCAACUCUUGAUUUCAGCUCAGGUCAUGAUCUCAGGGUCAUGGGAUUCUCCCUCUUUUGUCUCUCUCUCUUCCCACCCACACUCUGUAAAUAAUAAAAAAUAAAGAAUUAUAUUCAGAUCCUCCAUCAAGCCUGCAAGUGCAGCUGGUGAGACAGA
Long non-coding RNA from Herpailurus yagouaroundi (jaguarundi), 1499 nucleotides. RefSeq lists it as uncharacterized. Lineage: Eukaryota; Metazoa; Chordata; Mammalia; Carnivora; Felidae. The transcript is spliced from 3 exons. The record is from RefSeq and is a predicted model, not a curated record.